AUACAUGCAAGUCGAGCGAACGGACGAGAAGCUUGCUUCUCUGAUGUUAGCGGCGGACGGGUGAGUAACACGUGGAUAACCUACCUAUAAGACUGGGAUAACUUCGGGAAACCGGAGCUAAUACCGGAUAAUAUUUUGAACCGCAUGGUUCAAAAGUGAAAGACGGUCUUGCUGUCACUUAUAGAUGGAUCCGCGCUGCAUUAGCUAGUUGGUAAGGUAACGGCUUACCAAGGCAACGAUGCAUAGCCGACCUGAGAGGGUGAUCGGCCACACUGGAACUGAGACACGGUCCAGACUCCUACGGGAGGCAGCAGUAGGGAAUCUUCCGCAAUGGGCGAAAGCCUGACGGAGCAACGCCGCGUGAGUGAUGAAGGUCUUCGGAUCGUAAAACUCUGUUAUUAGGGAAGAACAUAUGUGUAAGUAACUGUGCACAUCUUGACGGUACCUAAUCAGAAAGCCACGGCUAACUACGUGCCAGCAGCCGCGGUAAUACGUAGGUGGCAAGCGUUAUCCGGAAUUAUUGGGCGUAAAGCGCGCGUAGGCGGUUUUUUAAGUCUGAUGUGAAAGCCCACGGCUCAACCGUGGAGGGUCAUUGGAAACUGGAAAACUUGAGUGCAGAAGAGGAAAGUGGAAUUCCAUGUGUAGCGGUGAAAUGCGCAGAGAUAUGGAGGAACACCAGUGGCGAAGGCGACUUUCUGGUCUGUAACUGACGCUGAUGUGCGAAAGCGUGGGGAUCAAACAGGAUUAGAUACCCUGGUAGUCCACGCCGUAAACGAUGAGUGCUAAGUGUUAGGGGGUUUCCGCCCCUUAGUGCUGCAGCUAACGCAUUAAGCACUCCGCCUGGGGAGUACGACCGCAAGGUUGAAACUCAAAGGAAUUGACGGGGACCCGCACAAGCGGUGGAGCAUGUGGUUUAAUUCGAAGCAACGCGAAGAACCUUACCAAAUCUUGACAUCCUUUGACAACUCUAGAGAUAGAGCUUUCCCCUUCGGGGGACAAAGUGACAGGUGGUGCAUGGUUGUCGUCAGCUCGUGUCGUGAGAUGUUGGGUUAAGUCCCGCAACGAGCGCAACCCUUAAGCUUAGUUGCCAUCAUUAAGUUGGGCACUCUAAGUUGACUGCCGGUGACAAACCGGAGGAAGGUGGGGAUGACGUCAAAUCAUCAUGCCCCUUAUGAUUUGGGCUACACACGUGCUACAAUGGACAAUACAAAGGGCAGCGAAACCGCGAGGUCAAGCAAAUCCCAUAAAGUUGUUCUCAGUUCGGAUUGUAGUCUGCAACUCGACUACAUGAAGCUGGAAUCGCUAGUAAUCGUAGAUCAGCAUGCUACGGUGAAUACGUUCCCGGGUCUUGUACACACCGCCCGUCACACCACGAGAGUUUGUAACACCCGAAGCCGGUGGAGUAACCUUUUAGGAGCUAGCCGUCGAAG
This 1430-nucleotide ribosomal RNA is filed under the name Staphylococcus aureus. Its description in RNAcentral is "bacterial SSU rRNA". It matches the Rfam family "Bacterial small subunit ribosomal RNA". The record is from RNAcentral. Lineage: Bacteria; Bacillati; Bacillota; Bacilli; Caryophanales; Staphylococcaceae.